Molecule: long non-coding RNA, 6224 nt
Filed under: Nicotiana tabacum (common tobacco)
Lineage: Eukaryota; Viridiplantae; Streptophyta; Magnoliopsida; Solanales; Solanaceae
Description: long non-coding RNA (NTAB_LNC007459)
Source: RNAcentral
AUAACAUAGGGAAUUACUAAGUCAUUACUUUCAAGUUUAUAAAUAAUAAUAAAAUCUGUGAAAGUUCAAUUAAAAUACCACACCAUGGCCCAAUAGAAUCCGGUGUCACGAACAUGAGCCUCUAAUACAGAAUAUCCACCUAUUACAAGUCUGUCUAGGAAAAAUGCGGAAUAAAAGAUGGAGAUAGAGGGGAGAGAUCAAGGCUGCGAAUGCCAUGCAGCUACCUCGAUACUCCUGGAUACUGCUGCUCACCUAAACAAAUCCUCACUCAGCCUGUAGUGUACCUGGAUCUGCACACAAGGUGAAGGGAGUAAUGUGAGUACUCCGACCCAGUGAGUAAUAAACAUAAAUAAAGGCUGAGAAUAAGAAAUCAUGGACAAUACAAGGUAAACUAUAACUGGCAGUUUAUAACAACGAAUAGUGAAGCAACAAGUCAAUAAAAUCAGAGUACAGAUACAAAGGCAGGUAUAACAGAUAAAGAACAAUGCAUAAGAUGUAAUGCAAUGCAUAUGACGGUACACUUCGGUACCCACUACGGCGUGUAGCCCGAGCCAUCCAUUUAUUUAUCGUCGACGGCGCUCACUGGGGGUGUGUACAGACUCCGGAGGGGUUCCUACAGCUCAAGCGCAAUAUCAAGCCAUCUCGUGGCAUCAAAUCUAGGCCCUCGGCCUCAUAUCAAUCUCAGUAUAAUCACCCAAGCUCUCGGCCUCAAUAUUAAUGUAAUCAACCAGGCUCUCAGCCUCAAUAUCAAUAUAACACUGCUGCGGCGCGCAGCCCAAUCCAUGCUCAGUCCAUAAAUCAUCAUAAGCCCCUUGGGCAUUUGUAAAACAGUAGUUUUCAGCCCGAAAUAUCAUUUAGAAAUAUCAUUUAAGUUUUCAAAUCUUAGAAAGAUGGCUGAGUUUGCAAAACAGUAUUUAAAACCUUGGACUGAGGUCAAAUGAUAUGCAAAAUAUGCGAAAACAGUGAUAUCAAUCCCUGAAGGAUUCAAAUAAUUGGCAAGAAGCCCACAAUUGGAAACAUGACUGAGGAUAUAAAUUCUUUAACAAAAUAAGUGAGGAAAACCAGUCAAAACUCCCCUAAGGGUUCUACAGGUCGGCACAAGGCCCCAAGCAUGGCAACAAGACAAAUUCACAAUAAUAAAGUAUACGUCUCAAUCAAAAAUGUAGUAAAAUAUCUCUAGGGACGGACCAAGUCACAAUCCCCAACGGUGCUCUACCCCACGCCCAUUAUCCGGCGUGCAAGUCAACUCAAUAUAGCGUUACGAUGUGAAAUUACGGGGUUUCAAACCCUCAGGACAUCAAUUACUCACCUUGAACCGGCUAAUUCUCUAGCUUGCGAUGCCUUUGCCCCUUAUUGACCUCUGAAUGCCUCAAAUCUAGCCAUAAAAAUUUGAUUCAGUUAAUAAAAAUUAUAGGAAUUAAUUCCAUAUGAAUUUACACAUUUUCCAAAUUAAAUCCGAAAUUUAGCUCAAACUUGCCCGUGUGACCCACAUCUCGGAAUCCGGCGAAACUUAUAAAAUCCGAUAACCCAUUCCGAUACGAGUUUAACCAUACAAAAUUAUCGAAUUCCGACAUCGGAUUGCCCUUCAAAUCCUCAAUUAAUGUUUUGAAGAUUUCUACCAUUUUUACCCAAUCUUUACCUAUUUGAACUCAAUAAUCUUCCCAUAACCUUAUUGUUACAAGCAUGUAUAGCUAAUACUCAAACAUCUAUGAAUCAUCUUACUAAUUACCCAUUUCUAGUUAGAUUUCGAAAUUGAAGAAUUGGGAAAAAAGAAACUCUUACUUCUUUGAUGAAGAACUUGAGGGAUUUCAAGGUUUGGACAAGAUUUUUGAUGAAAAAGGAACUUGAGCUUCUUCCUCUCUCUAGAACUGUUCUUCCCUCUCUCUAAAAGUACUAGAAAAUCCCAAAAUAACAAACCCCAAACGAGUUAAAUGAAAUGGAGUUCGGGUCUUAAAAACCCAUUUUUGUGCAGCCGCGACGCGUGGGGCGCCGCAGGGUGCGGGGUGUCUGUUCAAAAUAUGUCUGGAAAUGAAAUUUCGGACCAUUCUGGAAUUCCUACUGGCGCGGCGUGCCGUGCGCCGCAUGGGGCGGCGCGGCAGUACAAAUUUCUGCGCUGUUUUGGUAAUUUGGUCAUAACUUCUAGUAGGAGGUUCCGAAUGACGAACGGUUUGAAGCACUGGAAGCUAGACUCAAAAACCUUUCAUUUGAUAGGUUUUACAUCACAUAGUUCUUUAUAUGUGUAGAUAUGAUCGUCCAAAGUGAGGCAUUGCGCGUACUCAUUUGCAAUUUUGGUCUAUUAUGAAAUUUUCCAACUUAGCUUAGACUUAGGACUUUCCUUAGACCCUAUAUAUCUUAUAGUAAGCCUCGUACACUUGCUAUCAUAUCUAAUUGGUAUCCAUCAUGGUAAUAGACCUCUUCCACAUAUAAAAUAAUAUAAUUAGAACACGUCGACUUUCUUAUUUCGCCAAAAUGCGUCGAAUUGUCCUAUGGACUUCCAAAUCCAAAUUCGGACACACGUCUAAGUCCAAAAUCACCAUACGAAGCUACAGCAACUCUUGGAAUUCCAUUCUGACUCUCGGAUCAAAAUCUCACCUAUCAACCGGAAUUCGCCAAAAUACUAACUUUGCCAAUUCAAGCCUAAUUCUACACCGGACCUCCAAAAUUACUUCUGAUCACACUCCUAAGUCACAAAUCAUCCCCCGAAGCUAACCGAAUCAUCGGGAUUCAAAUCCGAUCCUUCUAACAUAUAAGUCAACGUCUGAUUGACUUUUCCAAAACAAACAUUCCUUAAAGAGACUAAGUGUCUCAUUUCCUACUAAAACCAAUCCAAAUCAACUCGUUCACACCCAACACUGAUAAUAAAGCAUAAAGAAAUAGAAAAUGGGGGAAACGGGGUGGUAACUCACGAGACGACGGGUCGGGUCGUCAUUUGGAUAUAAGCUAUAUACCUAAUUCUCUAGUAGCUGAUCUACGUCUAGAACCAAUGCAUUAGUAAUAAUAAGAUGAUGUCACUGUGAGAUGGAAGAAUAUGUAUGGUAUUAUCCAGUGGCACCAUCUCUGAUUUAUCUUUUCAUUGUAGCUUCUUUUGGAUAUGCACAUAUAGACAUAGAGGGGAAUUCGAAAGGCUGAGCAAAAUGAUAUUUGUUGUCAUUGUUUUGUAAACUAGCUUAUGGCUGUUUUGAAUUCUAAAAUAUUUGAUUGCUCAUUGUGAUCAUCGCAAAUAUACAUUUCUAUAAGUUGUUGUGCUUCUGCUAAAAAUGACAUUGCAUUUCUUGGUGUAUCUGUACUAUAGAAAAGACAUAUUAUAUGGUAUUGAAACAAAAAAACCUAAAUAGAGUGGAAUGUAUAUAGAGCAUUCAUAUCAUUGACCCCCAUUAGUUUGGUAUUGAGUCAUCUUUGAGUGACUGAUUAAUUAUCUUUUCUAGAAUGUAGAAAUAGCUUGCUGCUUUGUAGUUGCUUUAAAGAAUUUACUUUAUCCAAUUUCAGAUGUCGAAUUGUCAAAUAACAGACAGAAGAGAAUUCUUUUGUCUUGCCUCCUUUUUUUCUUUAGGUUUCUUGGUGCUUUUGCCAUGCUCAGUCUGUCAUUCGGCCACAACUUACAACUUGCAUCUGCUUUGUUGUGCCUUUGCUAACUCAUUGUUGUUGUCAUAAAAGUACAACUGUAAAUUUUUUGGUUUUUUUCCUCCGGGAUACAAAUCAUCUAUUAGGUGAUACAUUCGUCCUUGAACUCUAAAAGUAUAAAUACCAUGAUUCCUUCUCACUAAGUCUGUAUCAUAGCUUACACCAAGUGAUGUAAAUGCAAAUGUCUUAUUAUAUGUUCUGAUGUAUGUUUGAAAGUGUUGGGAUUUUUCACUAUUCUCAAAAUAUAGAUCAUGUAGCUUAGUGGGCAUUCGAUGUGAAAUUAUCUUAACUGUAUCAGUGUCACAACAAAAUCCAGGAGAUUCAUAUUCAAAUCUUUUCGCAAAGCAAAAUUUACAAUUUGGAACCUUUUUUAAUGGCACAUAGUCUGAACGUAAUUCAAUAUUCAUAGCAGUUUUGUUAUUUCGAGCGCGGCCUGCAUGUUGUAGAAGUUGUAAGGAGUGAAAUAGUAAGCACAAAAUGAUAUUGCCUAAAGAUGACACAAAUACAAACCUUUAGUUAUCAUUAUCUCAGUUGUAUCAUUUUGUUCAUUAGGUACAGCCGUUGUUGAACCUACCAGAUAAGUAGUUUUUUAGUCAACAUAAUGUCUUGUGUAUUAGUGUAAAAUUAUGGUAACUUUAGGCAAUUUGCCUUUCUCAUAAGUGCAAAGAGGAUUUCCCUUGUCAAAAGGAAGAAAUGAUGGAAGCAUUGUAACCUUACUCUCUGCAUAGUAGGCGUAAGCACAACAGAUGUCUAUAGUAUUAAAUUUAUGGUAGAUAUUCAUGCACACAAGAAAAUUAUAUUUGUUCUAAACAAUGAAACAAUUGCGUACUGUAUAGAUUGCGAUAUAAAAUUAGUAUACUAACCUGUUUUGGAAGUAUAGUAGGAGCCCUUUAUAUUAGAAGUACACUGUAAAUGUGCUAAUGUUGUUGUUAUAUCAGUAGAGAUAAUAGAAGUCGCUCUUUCAAAGCGAUUACGUUGCAACGCCUGAUUUUUGAGUACUUCCUGUAAUGAUAGUGCACUCUUUUCAUUCGUCAUCUUAAGUUUAUACUAUUCAUGUUGUCUAACAUUCCUAUUAGGACAUUUCUUUUCAGAGCAGGGACGCUUCUUUAUUUGUCCAGAGUCCAUCAAUAUUAAAAUUUGUUGUUCCCUAAUAUCAGUUGGUACAAAAGUCCUACAAUUUUUAAACGUUAUAAAAUUCAUGGUCAGUAAACAAACAAUACGCAACCAUACUAAGAAAUAGUUCUAAUGUCGUGUACCAAGAAAUUCAAUAACAAAACAUUGGUUGAAAGUCAAUAUUGAUUUAAUUUCAGAAGGUCAGAUCAUCUGAUCCGGUAGAAAUUUUACCAAAUCAAAAAUACAAAUUAGUAAUUGCACAAAUAGCAUUGAUCUACGUAAUAUAUACAUGGUUAAAUGAUUAAUUUUAGCAGCUUAUUAGAUUCUCAAACAUAUUUUAUGUUAUAUGCAGCUCGUGGUAAGAUAAAGCUUUUCUUAGAGUGAAUACAGUUGAAUGGUCACAUUUGAAGUAUUUAGCAACGGCAUAAACAAAUGAACCACUAAAUGCAACUUAUCUUUCACUUUGCGCAAAGUAAAGUGUAACUAUUUUCAUAUCAAAAGCAGGAAAAAAAUUUAAGAAACCAAAAAUUUUAACCACACAACAGUAGCUAUAUCAAACAGCAAAUGUAUUAUCUUGGGAUUAUCAGAAGAACAGAAAUGGAAACCACAUUACCUUUUGAUUCUAUUAAGCACAUCAAUAGGAAGUCCAAUAAUUGGUCAAUUUUACAUGAUGAAAAUGAAGUGUUUGAACAACUUUUACGUCAAGCCUUAAUUUCAAACCAAUCCAAAAUGUUAUGUCAUAAUGAUUUAAGUUAAAUGAGCUAAUCUUUUUAGGUUUAAUUUCUUUUCUCUCUUUCUUUUCGAUUUUAGGUUUAGUAUUGUUCAUCAUAAAGCGUAAUGAGAAGGCUCUAGGUUUAAUAUUUUCAACUAUUUUUUUCCCUUGAUCAAACCAAAACUUUCUUACCCUUCUAAACAGUAGUCAAAAAGAAAAUUUAUUUCUUGUAAAAUAGUGUUUAGCUUCAGAAAGUUCAAUGUAGUGAGUUCUUGGGAAAACUUAAUGUAGUUAGUAAGAAUUCAAUUUGUCAAUGGCAGGUCGGCCCAGUUACACAAGUUGGCACAUAGGAUUUUUUGAGUAAUGACUGCAACUAAGCUGUUUGAUAGUGUAAUAGCGUUAACCCCAUCAAAUUUGAAAGCAAUACCCAAUUGAAUUUCAGUUGAUUUUAAAAAAAUCCACAGCAAUUGCGAAAUCGAUUAAUGGAGAAGGAGACCUCCAAAUUAUUACAUAAUCACACAGUUUUUCCAAUUUAUCCAAAAUCAUAAUAAGGGAAUAAAAGAAAUUAGGGCUUUUAGCAUAAGGAUUUUGGAGUGUAAGGGUAGAAAUCAAGAGGAACAAAGUCAGUGGAAAAGAAGGGUACCUAGCAGUAGCGAGAGAGAACCAAAUUCGCCACCUAAGAAGAGUGUUGUUUCAGUUCAAUGCAUCCAAAUGUUUGUGCAACUUGCCAUAGUUAUCCUACUGAGCGAGUGUUUUAACACAAGAGAGCAGAGUGAAA